UGGGUUUUAAAACUGAACUUUAAUUUUGUAUGGGUUGACAUAAGUUUUGUAGGAAUUAAGUUAUGUGGUACAAUAUAACUGUUAAAUAUCGUACUGCAAAAUAUGUUUUUCCAACAAAAUAACUUCAAACAAAUAAUGAAAUAUACAAUAUGAAGUUGAAUAAAUUUUGGAAACAAAAAAUUAUAUAAUAACAAGAUGAAAGGAAGAAGAGUCAAGUCCUCUGAAUUCAC
RNAcentral lists this long non-coding RNA (230 nucleotides) under Solanum tuberosum (potato). RNAcentral describes it as "long non-coding RNA (STUB_LNC009798)". The record is from RNAcentral. Lineage: Eukaryota; Viridiplantae; Streptophyta; Magnoliopsida; Solanales; Solanaceae.